Molecule: ribosomal RNA, 439 nt
Filed under: uncultured bacterium
Lineage: Bacteria
Description: partial 16S ribosomal RNA
Rfam family: Bacterial small subunit ribosomal RNA
Source: RNAcentral
AACGAACGCUGGCGGCAUGCCUAACACAUGCAAGUCGAACGAGACCUUCGGGUCUAGUGUCGCACGGGUGCGUAACGCGUGGGAACCUGCCCUUAGGUUCGGAAUAACUCCCCGAAAGGGGUGCUAAUACCGGGUAAUUUCUUCGGACCAAAGAUUUAUCGCCGUUGGAUGGGCCCGCGUUGGAUUAUCUAGUUGGGGGGGUAGAAGCCUACCAAGGCGACGAUCCGUAGCUGGUGUGAGAGGAUGACCAGCCAGGCUGGGACUGAGACACGGCCCAGACGCCUACGGGAGGCAGCAGGGGGGAAUCGUGCACAAGGGGAGAGAGCCUGAUGCAGCGACGCCGCGGGCGGGACGAAGGCCGUCGGGUUGGAAACCGCUGUCAGCAGGGACGAGGCGAUAAGUGACGGUACCUGCAGAAGAAGCCCCGGCUAACUACGUG